RNAcentral lists this transfer RNA (75 nucleotides) under Candidatus Bathyarchaeota archaeon. RNAcentral describes it as "tRNA-Arg". It matches the Rfam family "tRNA". From Rfam's summary of the family: Transfer RNA (tRNA) molecules are approximately 80 nucleotides in length. Their secondary structure includes four short double-helical elements and three loops (D, anti-codon, and T loops). The record is from RNAcentral. Lineage: Archaea; Thermoproteati; Candidatus Bathyarchaeota. RNAcentral also lists the same sequence under 1 other name.
GGGCCCGUGGCCUAGCAUGGAUAGGGCGCAGGCCUUCGGAGCCUGAGGUCGGGGGUUCAACUCCCCCCGGGCCCG